CUUAAAAUGACAAACUGGAACUGACUAGCCAUAUUACGUACAACGAUUUGCAAGAAAGCAGAGGAACAAAAAAAAAGUACUUCAGAAGGUGGGCUGCUCUACUGGGGCAGGAACGACCUCCGAGUGAAACUUGAUAGCCAUUCAACUCUGAGCAAGGCCAGUAUCCCUGUUCCCAGGACGUGCCCUCCUACCAUCAUCAUCAUCAUCAUCAUCAUCAUCAUCCCAAUGAUGACUCUUCUCCGUGUGGCCUUUGGAUCAGCUCCAAGUAGCACUCAAACUGCGAGUGCUAAAUAUGUGCCGGAGCUCAACACCAGGACCUCCGACUCAAAGCAGUCUGUGCUCCGCCACCUCAAAUGCUACACCCAGUAUAAUUAAGAUUAAUCUGAGGGAAAAACCGCAACCCCACUUUCUGGGUACUACAAUAGAUGAGGUUACAGGCCAACUUGUUACAGCAAAAGGAUUAAAAGAAAAUCUCAAAAAGACACAAACCUGAAAACCUGAUGGAAGAACAAGCAGAGACAGCAAGGAGCAGCAACUGGUUUGCAGACGCUAACGCUAAUGAGAAGGACCGCAAAAAGAAGCAGCGCUUGUGGAUGCUAACGCUAAUGAGAAGGACCGCAAAAAGGAGCAGGGUUUGUGGACGCUAACGUUGAUGAAAAGGACCGCAAAAAGGAGCAGUGCUUGUGGAUGCUAACGUUGAUGAAAAGGACCGCAAAAAGGAGCAGUGCUUGUGGAUGCUAACGCUAAUGAGAAGGACCGCAAAAAGGAGCAGUGCUUGUGGAUGCUAACGCUAAUGAGAAGGACCGCAAAAAGGAGCAGGGUUUGUGGACGCUAACGUUGAUGAAAAGGACCGCAAAAAGGAGCAGUGCUUGAGGAUGCUAACGCUAAUGAGAAGGACCGCAAAAAGGAGCAGGGUUUGUGGACGCUAACGUUGAUGAAAAGGACCGCAAAAAGGAGCAGUGCUUGUGGAUGCUAACGCUAAUGAGAAGGACCGCAAAAAGAAGCAGUGCUUGUAGAUGGUAACGCUAAUGAGAAGGACCGCAAAAAGAAGCAGCGCUUGUGGAUGCUAACGCUAAUGAGAAGGACCGCAAAAAGGAGCAGGGUUUGUGGACGCUAACGUUGAUGAAAAGGACCGCAAAAAGGAGCAGUGCUUGUGGAUGCUAACGCUAAUGAGAAGGACCGCAAAAAGAAGCAGUGCUUGUGGAUGCUAACGCUAAUGAGAAGGACCGCAAAAAGGAGCAGUGCUUGUGGAUGCUAACGCUAAUGAGAAGGACCGCAAAAAGGAGCAGUGCUUGUGGAUGCUAACGCUAAUGAGAAGGACCGCAAAAAGGAGCAGGGUUUGUGGACGCUAACGCUAAUGAGAAGGACCGCAAAAAGAAGCAGUGCUUGUGGAUGCUAACGCUAAUGAGAAGGACCGCAAAAAGGAGCAGGGUUUGUGGACGCUAACGCUAAUGAGAAGGACCGCAAAAAGGAGCAGGGUUUGUGGACGCUAACGCUAAUGAGAAGGACCGCAAAAAGGAGCAGUGUCUGUUGACGCCAAUGCUAAUGAGAAGUUCCACGCAAAAGAAAAGUUUGAUGCGACUUACAGGUGUUGAAAGAAAAUACUGCAUUGUUACGUGUUUAAGUAAUUAAUAGUGCAUUAUUUUUGUUACAGAUCGAUUUGUGAAUAUGACAUCAUCGUGGUCUUCAUGAGCUGCGGCACCUCAGAGUUUUCAAAUUAAGCAAAAGUUGCAGCCACAGCAUUCACUGUUUGCAGAAACAGCUUGUUUGUAUUAGCAAGCAGUUUCCCUAAUACUCAGUCCACAUUUUGGUGUGAAGAGAAACAUUCUGGAAGUUUAUCACUCAAGGCAGUGGUGGUGCAGCUUAGCAAGUUCACCCAUAAGGCUGUUUUUCUCAUGACAAAUAAAAAAUUAUAAUCAUGUGGAAGUGAUAAAAACAAAAACUUACUGGUAAAGUGCUGCAACCAAUUGCUAAAUGAACUGUCCACUUAAAGAAAUCAAUGAUACUGUAGCCAUAAUAACCCAAUAAAAAAAAAAACUAAUCAUUAUAGUUCACAAAUCUUUUUCUCCAGUGUUAAUUGUCACCCACUACGUUCGUAAAAACCAUGACAGUGAUCAGGUUCUCUGUUAUUAAACUGUGAC
Long non-coding RNA from Brienomyrus brachyistius, 2141 nucleotides. RefSeq lists it as uncharacterized. The record is from RefSeq and is a predicted model, not a curated record. The transcript is spliced from 4 exons. NCBI's taxonomy places the organism in Eukaryota, Metazoa, Chordata, Actinopteri, Osteoglossiformes, Mormyridae.